This 253-nucleotide ribosomal RNA is filed under the name uncultured bacterium. RNAcentral describes it as "partial 16S ribosomal RNA". It matches the Rfam family "Bacterial small subunit ribosomal RNA", at positions 524 to 776 of the family's 1533-position model. The record is from RNAcentral.
UACGGAGGAUUCAAGCGUUAUCCGGAUUUAUUGGGUUUAAAGGGUGCGUAGGCGGUUGGAUAAGUUAGAGGUGAAAUCCCGGGGCUCAACUCCGGAAUUGCCUCUGAUACUGUUCGGCUAGAGAUCAGUUGCGGUAGGCGGAAUGUAUGGUGUAGCGGUGAAAUGCUUAGAGAUCAUACAGAACACCGAUUGCGAAGGCAGCUUACCAAGCUGAAUCUGACGUUGAGGCACGAAAGCGUGGGUAGCAAACAGG